RNAcentral lists this unclassified non-coding RNA (201 nucleotides) under Hevea brasiliensis (rubber tree). Lineage: Eukaryota; Viridiplantae; Streptophyta; Magnoliopsida; Malpighiales; Euphorbiaceae. The record is from RNAcentral.
UUAGGCAAAUCAGAUUUUCGGAAUCCAUCAAUUCUCACAGUUACUUUAUGUAUCCCUUUGUCAUAAUCAACAGAAGCUUUCUUCUUCUCCUCAUAAGCAUCCUUGUUGUCAUUCUUGGGUUUCUGCUGCUUUUGGGAGACUAUAAUAGAUGCUCUGAAAUGGGUUUUGAAUUUGGGAUUUGGGUGUUGAGGGAAUGUGGAG